GUAGUUAGCCGGAGCUUCCUCCUUGGGUACCGUCAUUUUGUUCGUCCCCAAGGACAGAGGUUUACAAUCCGAAAACCUUCUUCCCUCACGCGGCGUUGCUGGGUCAGGGUUUCCCCCAUUGCCCAAUAUUCCCCACUGCUGCCUCCCGUAGGAGUCUGGACCGUGUCUCAGUUCCAGUGUGGCCGAUCACCCUCUCAGGUCGGCUACCCAUCGUUGACUUGGUGGGCCGUUACCCCGCCAACUAUCUAAUGGGACGCGAGCCCAUCCAUAAGCGAAUUUCUUUGACCUCUCUACCAUGCGAUAGUGUGGUCUUAUGCGGUAUUAGCAGCCGUUUCCAGCUGUUGUCCCCCUCUUAUGGCCAGGUUGCUCACGCGUUACUCACCCGUCCGCCACUAAGUCACAUCUGCUUCCAUCCGAAAACUUCCGCUGAUAUGCUUCGUUCGACUUGCAUGUGUUAAGCACGCCGCCACGCGUUCGUCCUGACGCCAGAAUACAAACUCUGA
This 503-nucleotide ribosomal RNA is filed under the name uncultured bacterium. Its description in RNAcentral is "partial 16S ribosomal RNA". The record is from RNAcentral.